Molecule: long non-coding RNA, 379 nt
Filed under: Mus musculus (house mouse)
Lineage: Eukaryota; Metazoa; Chordata; Mammalia; Rodentia; Muridae
Description: predicted gene, 46961
Source: RNAcentral
GAUAAACUGAAUUCUGAGCUCUCUGCCUUCCCCCAUGUGUCUACCACUGACAUAUUGUGCUUGGUUGUUUUUACCAUUCCAGUUUUGUUCCCCAGGAAUAACAAGGCAUGGAGCCUAACUGCAUCAAGGUAUUCCAGCGAGGGCUGUGGAAACCACCAGAGAAACACUUCUGUCCACACGCAUGCUCUGGGCAAAGGUAAAUCCUUUGGAAUACAAGAACAGAUCCCAACUCAUCCUGACUUGAGUUGUUGGCCGAGCAGCAUCCUCACGGCAAACACUGGGACCGUCAGAUAGCAUCCGAGGUCUGUAGCAGAGGUUCCCCACUUUGCUUUAACCUGCACUCCUGUGCCCAUCAAUAAAUUUGAAAAGUACCUUGUAA